CUGUGCUCAUGUGUGGCAGCUCUGGAAUGAACUAUGAAAUCCAUCUACAGCACACUUAACAAACAGUGAUAUUUGCAUCUGGAUAUCAAAGCGAGCUGUUUGCUGGAGUUCAAAGGCAGCUUUGCAAGCAUUAAAUCUGAUAGGCUCAGGGUGGCAUCUCUGGGUUAGAUCUUCAUCUAAAAAGGGUAGAGGCUUGUAGUCUUGAUCCUGCAUAUUUCUCACUGCAUUUUCCCAAAGUUGCGAAGUCUACAGCCUUGCCUACCCUUUCCAUGCAAAGGUGGAAGCAGCUCACAAGGAACAUAGCAACAUCUACAUGCAGGAAGCAGCUAAGGACUGAGAUUUUUGCAGAGAUGUGCAUAUGGUGAUAUUUGAAAGUCUUGAAACUUCUUGCCUCAACUGGAAGAGAACAGAAACAAAUAGAAAAAUAAAGAUGGAAAAUGAACACACACCUAAUGUGCCUCAGCUCUCAUCCAGCUGAGAAGUCAAGCACCGUGGGAUUUAUUUUACCGACUGCAAGAAGAAAACAACACCCAGACCCUGCAUGUGUGGGCUGAAUGUUUC
Molecule: long non-coding RNA, 561 nt
Filed under: Otus sunia (Oriental scops-owl)
Lineage: Eukaryota; Metazoa; Chordata; Aves; Strigiformes; Strigidae
Description: lncRNA (ENSOSUG00000012610.1)
Source: RNAcentral